This is a long non-coding RNA of Homo sapiens (human), 15043 nucleotides long. The record is from Ensembl. Lineage: Eukaryota; Metazoa; Chordata; Mammalia; Primates; Hominidae.
UCAACAACACAUUAAAGUUGGGGUGCAGUGUCCCAGGUUCACUCAACCCUUCCCGUUUUCUUGUCUGUGUGUGUCUACUUUGCUCUGUUCCCUGGUGGCAGCGGCGGUGGCAAUGUUGGUGCAUGGGCCUCCUAGGACAAGGGGAAAGUGAGUAUGCCCUUUUCUUGCUUCCUGCCAGGCAUCUGCAGCCUGGCGCAAGCUCUGGCCAGGUCUUCAAGCAAGGUACCUGGAGAUGUUCUUUUCCAAUUUCUGGAUUGGUAACUUGAGGCAAAUUCUGGGCACUAGAGUCAGGACUAAGAUGAGACUUGAAUCAGGGGAGUCUGGGGUCCUGAGAGGCAGAGGCCUGAAACCAUCUAGAGCAUGUGGGGACCUGGGUGUGUGUUCAGGCCAGUUGCCUUUCUCUGUGCUUCAAUGUUCCAGGUACCCUUGGAGGGACUGAGAUCCUAGGGAUUGCUGGAGCCUGGCUGCAUGGCCUGGCCACCCUGAUGCGCUUGCAUUCUCCGUGACAGGACAGCAAGGCUGAGGAGAAUGGCUCCCACAGCUUCAUGCACUCCAUGGACCCACAGCUGGAGCGGCAAAUGGAAACCACCCAGAACCUGGUGGACUCCUACAUGGCCAUUGUCAACAAGACCGUGUGGAACCUCAUGGUUGGUGCGAAGCCCAAGACCAUCAUGCACAUCAUGAUCUACAAUGUGCAUGCACCGCCUCAUGGGGACCAAGGAGUUCAUCUUCUCAGAGCUGCUGUCCAACCUGUACUCGCGUGGGAACAAGGAGACACUCCUGGAGGAGUCGGCAGAGCAGGCACAGCGGCGCGACGAGAUGCUGCUUCUCAGAGCUGCUGUCCAACCUGCACUCGCGUGGGAACGAGAAGACACUCGUGGAGGCGUCGGCAGAGCAGGCAGACCAAGGAGUUCAUCUUCUCAGAGCUGCUGUCCAAACUGCACUUGCGUGGGAACGAGAAGACACUCAUGGAGGAGUCGGCAGAGCAGGCACAGCGGUGCGACGAGAUGCUGCUUCUCAGAGCUGCUGUCCAACCUGCACUCGCGUGGGAACAAGAAGACACUCGUGGAGGCGUCGGCAGAGCAGGCAGACCAAGGAGUUCAUCUUCUCAGAGCUGCUGUCCAACCUGUACUCGCGUGGGAACGAGAAGACACUCGUGGAGGCGUCGGCAGAGCAGGCAGACCAAGGAGUUCAUCUUCUCAGAGCUGCUGUCCAACCUGCACUCGCGUGGGAACGAGAAGACACUCGUGGAGGCGUCGGCAGAGCAGGCAGACCAAGGAGUUCAUCUUCUCAGAGCUUCUGUCCAACCUGUACUCGCGUGGGAACGAGAAGACACUCGUGGAGGCGUCGGCAGAGCAGGCAGACCAAGGAGUUCAUCUUCUCAGAGCUGCUGUCCAACCUGUACUCGCGUGGGAACGAGAAGACACUCGUGGAGGCGUCGGCAGAGCAGGCAGACCAAGGAGUUCAUCUUCUCAGAGCUGCUGUCCAACCUGCACUCGCGUGGGAACGAGAAGACACUCGUGGAGGCGUCGGCAGAGCAGGCAGACCAAGGAGUUCAUCUUCUCAGAGCUGCUGUCCAACCUGCACUCGCGUGGGAACGAGAAGACACUCAUGGAGGAGUCGGCCGAGCAGGCACAGCGGCGUGACGAGACUCGCGUGGGAAGAAGAAGACACUCCUGGAGGAGUCGGCAGAGCAGGCAGACCAAGGAGUUCAUCUUCUCGGAGCUGCUGUCCAACCUGUACUCGCGUCGGAACCUGCAGACACUUGUGGAGGAGUCGGCAGAGCAGGCACAGCGGUGCGACGAGAUGCUGCUUCUCAGAGCUGCUGUCCAACCUGCACUGGCGUGGGAACGAGAAGACACUCGUGGAGGCGUCGGCAGAGCAGGCAGACCAAGGAGUUCAUCUUCUCAGAGCUGCUGUCCAACCUGCACUCGCGUGGGAACGAGAAGACACUCAUGGAGGAGUCGGCCGAGCAGGCACAGCGGCGUGACGAGACUCGCGUGGGAAGAAGAAGACACUCCUGGAGGAGUCGGCAGAGCAGGCAGACCAAGGAGUUCAUCUUCUCGGAGCUGCUGUCCAACCUGUACUCGCGUCGGAACCUGCAGACACUUGUGGAGGAGUCGGCAGAGCAGGCACAGCGGUGCGACAAGAUGCUGCUUCUCAGAGCUGCUGUCCAACCUGCACUGGCGUGGGAACGAGAAGACACUCGUGGAGGCGUCGGCAGAGCAGGCAGACCAAGGAGUUCAUCUUCUCAGAGCUGCCGUCCAACCUGUCCUCGCGUGGGAACGAGAAGACACUCGUGGAGGCGUCGGCAGAGCAGGCAGACCAAGGAGUUCAUCUUCUCAGAGCUGCUGUCCAACCUGCACUCGCGUGGGAACGAGAAGACACUCGUGGAGGCGUCGGCAGAGCAGGCAGACCAAGGAGUUCAUCUUCUCAGAGCUGCUGUCCAAACUGCACUCGCGUGGGAACGAGAAGACACUCAUGGAGGAGUCGGCAGAGCAGGCACAGCGGUGUGACGAGACUCGCGUGGGAAGAAGAAGACACUCCUGGAGGAGUCGGCAGAGCAGGCAGACCAAGGAGUUCAUCUUCUCGGAGCUGCUGUCCAACCUGUACUCGCGUCGGAACCUGCAGACACUUGUGGAGGAGUCGGCAGAGCAGGCACAGCGGUGCGACGAGAUGCUGCUUCUCAGAGCUGCUGUCCAACCUGCACUCGCUUGGGAACAAGAAGACACUCGUGGAGGCGUCGGCAGAGCAGGCAGACCAAGGAGUUCAUCUUCUCAGAGCUGCUGUCCAACCUGUACUCGCGUGGGAACGAGAAGACACUCGUGGAGGCGUCGGCAGAGCAGGCAGACCAAGGAGUUCAUCUUCUCAGACCUGCUGUCCAACCUGCACUCGCGUGGGAACGAGAAGACACUCAUGGAGGAGUCGGCCGAGCAGGCACAGCGGCGUGACGAGACUCGCAUGGGAAGAAGAAGACACUCCUGGAGGAGUCGGCAGAGCAGGCAGAUCAAGGAGUUCAUCUUCUCGGAGCUGCUGUCCAACCUGUACUCGCGUCGGAACCUGCAGACACUUGUGGAGGAGUCGGCAGAGCAGGCACAGCGGUGCGACGAGAUGCUGCUUCUCAGAGAUGCUGUCCAACCUGCACUGGCUUGGGAACGAGAAGACACUCGUGGAGGCGUCGGCAGAGCAGGCAGACCAAGGAGUUCAUCUUCUCAGAGCUGCUGUCCAACCUGUACUCGCGUGGGAACGAGCAGACACUCGUGGAGGCGUUGGCAGAGCAGGCAGACCAAGGAGUUCAUCUUCUCAGAGCUGCUGUCCAACCUGCACUCGCGUGGGAACGAGAAGACACUCGUGGAGGCGUCGGCAGAGCAGGCAGACCAAGGAGUUCAUCUUCUCAGAGCUGCUGUCCAAACUGCACUCGCGUGGGAACGAGAAGACACUCAUGGAGGAGUCGGCAGAGCAGGCACAGAGGUGUGACGAGACUCGCGUGGGAAGAAGAAGACACUCCUGGAGGAGUCGGCAGAGCAGGCAGACCAAGAAGUUCAUCUUCUCGGAGCUGCUGUCCAACCUGUACUCGCGUCGGAACCUGCAGACACUCGUGGAGGCGUCGGCAGAGCAGGCACAGCGGUGCGACGAGAUGCUGCUUCUCAGAGCUGCUGUCCAACCUGCACUGGCGUGGGAACGAGAAGACACUCGUGGAGGCGUCGGCAGAGCAGGCAGACCAAGGAGUUCAUCUUCUCAGAGCUGCUGUCCAACCUGUACUCGCGUGGGAACGAGCAGACACUCGUGGAGGCGUUGGCAGAGCAGGCAGACCAAGGAGUUCAUCUUCUCAGAGCUGCUGUCCAACCUGCACUCGCGUGGGAACGAGAAGACACUCGUGGAGGCGUCGGCAGAGCAGGCAGACCAAGGAGUUCAUCUUCUCAGAGCUGCUGUCCAAACUGCACUCGCGUGGGAACGAGAAGACACUCAUGGAGGAGUCGGCAGAGCAGGCACAGAGGUGUGACGAGACUCGCGUGGGAAGAAGAAGACACUCCUGGAGGAGUCGGCAGAGCAGGCAGACCAAGGAGUUCAUCUUCUCGGAGCUGCUGUCCAACCUGUACUCGCGUCGGAACCUGCAGACACUCGUGGAGGCGUCGGCAGAGCAGGCAGACCAAGGAGUUCAUCUCAGAGCUGCUGUCCAACCUGCACUCGCGUGGGAACGAGAAGACACUCGUGGAGGCGUCGGCAGAGCAGGCAGACCAAGGAGUUCAUCUUCUCAGAGCUGCUGUCCAACCUGCACUCGCGUGGGAACGAGAAGACACUCAUGGAGGAGUCGGCCGAGCAGGCACAGCGGCGUGACGAGACUCGCGUGGGAAGAAGAAGACACUCCUGGAGGAGUCGGCAGAGCAGGCAGACCAAGGAGUUCAUCUUCUCGGAGCUGCUGUCCAACCUGUACUCGCGUCGGAACCUGCAGACACUUGUGGAGGAGUCGGCAGAGCAGGCACAGCGGUGCGACGAGAUGCUGCUUCUCAGAGCUGCUGUCCAACCUGCACUGGCGUGGGAACGAGAAGACACUCGUGGAGGCGUCGGCAGAGCAGGCAGACCAAGGAGUUCAUCUUCUCAGAGCUGCUGUCCAACCUGUACUCACGUGGGAACGAGCAGACACUCGUGGAGGCGUCGGCAGAGCAGGCAGACCAAGGAGUUCAUCUUCUCAGAGCUGCUGUCCAACCUGCACUCGCGUGGGAAUGAGAAGACACUCGUGAAGGCGUCGGCAGAGAAGGCAGACCAAGGAGUUCAUCUUCUCAGAGCUGCUGUCCAACCUGCACUCGCGUGGGAACGAGAAGACACUCGUGGAGGCGUCGGCAGAGCAGGCAGACCAAGGAGUUCAUCUUCUCAGAGCUGCUGUCCAAACUGCACUCGCGUGGGAACGAGAAGACACUCAUGGAGGAGUCGGCAGAGCAGGCACAGAGGUGUGACGAGACUCGCGUGGGAAGAAGAAGACACUCCUGGAGGAGUCGGCAGAGCAGGCAGACCAAGGAGUUCAUCUUCUCGGAGCUGCUGUCCAACCUGUACUCGCGUCGGAACCUGCAGACACUUGUGGAGGAGUCGGCAGAGCAGGCACAGCGGUGCGACGAGAUGCUGCUUCUCAGAGCUGCUGUCCAACCUGCACUGGCGUGGCAACGAGAAGACACUCGUGGAGGCGUCGGCAGAGCAGGCAGACCAAGGAGUUCAUCUUCUCAGAGCUGCUGUCCAACCUGUACUCGCGUGGGAACGAGCAGACACUCGUGGAGGCGUUGGCAGAGCAGGCAGACCAAGGAGUUCAUCUUCUCAGAGCUGCUGUCCAACCUGCACUCGCGUGGGAACGAGAAGACACUCGUGGAGGCGUCGGCAGAGCAGGCAGACCAAGGAGUUCAUCUUCUCAGAGCUGCUGUCCAAACUGCACUCGCGUGGGAACGAGAAGACACUCAUGGAGGAGUCGGCAGAGCAGGCACAGAGGUGUGACGAGACUCGCGUGGGAAGAAGAAGACACUCCUGGAGGAGUCGGCAGAGCAGGCAGACCAAGGAGUUCAUCUUCUCGGAGCUGCUGUCCAACCUGUACUCGCGUCGGAACCUGCAGACACUCGUGGAGGCGUCGGCAGAGCAGGCAGACCAAGGAGUUCAUCUUCUCAGAGCUUCUGUCCAACCUGUACUCGCGUGGGAACGAGAAGACACUCGUGGAGGCGUCGGCAGAGCAGGCAGACCAAGGAGUUCAUCUUCUCAGAGCUGCUGUCCAACCUGUACUCGCGUGGGAACGAGAAGACACUCGUGGAGGCGUCGGCAGAGCAGGCAGACCAAGGAGUUCAUCUUCUCAGAGCUGCUGUCCAACCUGCACUCGCGUGGGAACGAGAAGACACUCAUGGAGGAGUCGGCCGAGCAGGCACAGCGGCGUGACGAGACUCGCAUGGGAAGAAGAAGACACUCCUGGAGGAGUCGGCAGAGCAGGCAGAUCAAGGAGUUCAUCUUCUCGGAGCUGCUGUCCAACCUAUACUCGCGUCGGAACCUGCAGACACUUGUGGAGGAGUCGGCAGAGCAGGCACAGCGGUGCGACGAGAUGCUGCUUCUCAGAGAUGCUGUCCAACCUGCACUGGCGUGGGAACGAGAAGACACUCGUGGAGGCGUCGGCAGAGCAGGCAGACCAAGGAGUUCAUCUUCUCAGAGCUGCUGUCCAACCUGCACUCGCGUGGGAACGAGAAGACACUCGUGGAGGCGUCGGCAGAGCAGGCAGACCAAGGAGUUCAUCUUCUCAGAGCUGCUGUCCAACCUGCACUCGCGUGGGAACGAGAAGACACUCAUGGAGGAGUCGGCCGAGCAGGCACAGCGGCGUGACGAGACUCGCGUGGGAAGAAGAAGACACUCCUGGAGGAGUCGGCAGAGCAGGCAGACCAAGGAGUUCAUCUUCUCGGAGCUGCUGUCCAACCUGUACUCGCGUCGGAACCUGCAGACACUUGUGGAGGAGUCGGCAGAGCAGGCACAGCGGUGCGACGAGAUGCUGCUUCUCAGAGCUGCUGUCCAACCUGCACUCGCGUGGGAACAAGAAGACACUCGUGGAGGCGUUGGCAGAGCAGGCAGACCAAAGGAGUUCAUCUUCUCAGAGCUGCUGUCCAACCUGUACUCGCGUGGGAACGAGAAGACACUCGUGGAGGCGUCGGCAGAGCAGGCAGACCAAGGAGUUCAUCUUCUCAGAGCUGCUGUCCAACCUGCACUCGCGUGGGAACGAGAAGACACUCAUGUAGGAGUCGGCAGAGCAGGCACAGCGGCGUGACGAGACUCGCGUGGGAAGAAGAAGACAUUCCUGGAGGAGUCGGCAGAGCAGGCAGAGCAAGGAGUUCAUCUUCUCGGAGCUGCUGUCCAACCUGUACUCGCGUCGGAACCUGCAGACACUUGUGGAGGAGUCGGCAGAGCAGGCACAGCGGUGCGACGAGAUGCUGCUUCUCAGAGCUGCUGUCCAACCUGCACUCGCGUGGGAACCAGAAGACACUCGUGGAGGCGUCGGCAGAGCAGGCAGACCAAGGAGUUCAUCUUCUCAGAGCUGCUGUCCAACCUGUACUCGCGUGGGAACGAGAAGACACUCGUGGAGGCGUCGGCAGAGCAGGCAGACCAAGGAGUUCAUCUUCUCAGAGCUGCUGUCCAACCUGCACUCGCGUGGGAACGAGAAGACACUCAUGGAGGAGUCGGCCGAGCAGGCACAGCGGCGUGACGAGACUCGCGUGGGAAGAAGAAGACACUCCUGGAGGAGUCGGCAGAGCAGGCAGACCAAGGAGUUCAUCUUCUCGGAGCUGCUGUCCAACCUGUACUCGCGUCGGAACCUGCAGACACUUGUGGAGGAGUCGGCAGAGCAGGCACAGCGGUGCGACGAGAUGCUGCUUCUCAGAGCUGCUGUCCAACCUGCACUGGCGUGGGAACGAGAAGACACUCGUGGAGGCAUCGGCAGAGCAGGCAGACCAAGGAGUUCAUCUUCUCAGAGCUGCUGUCCAACCUGUACUCGCGUGGGAACGAGCAGACACUCGUGGAGGCGUUGGCAGAGCAGGCAGACCAAGGAAUUCAUCUUCUCAGAGCUGCUGUCCAACCUGCACUCGCGUGGGAAUGAGAAGACACUCGUGAAGGCGUCGGCAGAGAAGGCAGACCAAGGAGUUCAUCUUCUCAGAGCUGCUGUCCAACCUGCACUCGCGUGGGAACGAGAAGACACUCGUGGAGGCGUCGGCAGAGCAGGCAGACCAAGGAGUUCAUCUUCUCAGAGCUGCUGUCCAAACUGCACUCGCGUGGGAACGAGAAGACACUCAUGGAGGAGUCGGCAGAGCAGGCACAGAGGUGUGACGAGACUCGCGUGGGAAGAAGAAGACACUCCUGGAGGAGUCGGCAGAGCAGGCAGACCAAGGAGUUCAUCUUCUCGGAGCUGCUGUCCAACCUGUACUCGCGUCGGAACCUGCAGACACUCGUGGAGGCGUCGGCAGAGCAGGCAGACCAAGGAGUUCAUCUUCUCAGAGCUGCUGUCCAACCUGUACUCGCGUGGGAACGAGAAGACACUCGUGGAGGCGUCGGCAGAGCAGGCAGACCAAGGAGUUCAUCUUCUCAGAGCUGCUGUCCAACCUGCACUCGCGUGGGAACGAGAAGACACUCAUGGAGGAGUCGGCAGAGCAGGCACAGCGGUGUGACGAGACUCGCGUGGGAAGAAGAAGACACUCCUGGACUAGUCGGUAGAGCAGGCAGACCAAGGAGUUCAUCUUCUCGGAGCUGCUGUCCAACCUGUACUCGCGUCGGAACCUGCAGACACUUGUGGAGGAGUCGGCAGAGCAGGCACAGCGGUGCGACGAGAUGCUGCUUCUCAGAGCUGCUGUCCAACCUGCACUCGCGUGGGAACGAGAAGACACUCGUGGAGGCGUUGGCAGAGCAGGCAGACCAAGGAGUUCAUCUUCUCAGAGCUGCUGUCCAACCUGUACUCGCGUGGGAACGAGAAGACACUCGUGGAGGCGUCGGCAGAGCAGGCAGACCAAGGAGUUCAUCUUCUCAGAGCUGCUGUCCAACCUGCACUCGCGUGGGAACGAGAAGACACUCAUGGAGGAGUCGGCCGAGCAGGCACAGCGGCGUGACGAGACUCGCGUGGGAAGAAGAAGACACUCCUGGAGGAGUCGGCAGAGCAGGCAGACCAAGGAGUUCAUCUUCUCGGAGCUGCUGUCCAACCUGUACUCGCAUCGGAACCUGCAGACACUUGUGGAGGAGUCGGCAGAGCAGGCACAGCGGUGCGACGAGAUGCUGCUUCUCAGAGCUGCUGUCCAACCUGCACUGGCGUGGGAACGAGAAGACACUCGUGGAGGCGUCGGCAGAGCAGGCAGACCAAGGAGUUCAUCUUCUCAGAGCUGCUGUCCAACCUGUACUCACGUGGGAACGAGCAGACACUCGUGGAGGCGUCGGCAGAGCAGGCAGACCAAGGAGUUCAUCUUCUCAGAGCUGCUGUCCAACCUGCACUCGCGUGGGAAUGAGAAGACACUCGUGAAGGCGUCGGCAGAGAAGGCAGACCAAGGAGUUCAUCUUCUCAGAGCUGCUGUCCAACCUGCACUCGCGUGGGAACGAGAAGACACUCGUGGAGGCGUCGGCAGAGCAGGCAGACCAAGGAGUUCAUCUUCUCAGAGCUGCUGUCCAAACUGCACUCGCGUGGGAACGAGAAGACACUCAUGGAGGAGUCGGCAGAGCAGGCACAGAGGUGUGACGAGACUCGCGUGGGAAGAAGAAGACACUCCUGGAGGAGUCGGCAGAGCAGGCAGACCAAGGAGUUCAUCUUCUCGGAGCUGCUGUCCAACCUGUACUCGCGUCGGAACCUGCAGACACUUGUGGAGGAGUCGGCAGAGCAGGCACAGCGGUGCGACGAGAUGCUGCUUCUCAGAGCUGCUGUCCAACCUGCACUCGCGUGGGAACAAGAAGACACUCGUGGAGGCGUUGGCAGAGCAGGCAGACCAAGGAGUUCAUCUUCUCAGAGCUGCUGUCCAACCUGUACUCGCGUGGGAACGAGAAGACACUCGUGGAGGCGUCGGCAGAGCAGGCAGACCAAGGAGUUCAUCUUCUCAGAGCUGCUGUCCAACCUGCACUCGCGUGGGAACGAGAAGACACUCAUGUAGGAGUCGGCAGAGCAGGCACAGCGGCGUGACGAGACUCGCGUGGGAAGAAGAAGACAUUCCUGGAGGAGUCGGCAGAGCAGGCAGAGCAAGGAGUUCAUCUUCUCGGAGCUGCUGUCCAACCUGUACUCGCGUCGGAACCUGCAGACACUUGUGGAGGAGUCGGCAGAGCAGGCACAGCGGUGCGACGAGAUGCUGCUUCUCAGAGCUGCUGUCCAACCUGCACUCGCGUGGGAACCAGAAGACACUCGUGGAGGCGUCGGCAGAGCAGGCAGACCAAGGAGUUCAUCUUCUCAGAGCUGCUGUCCAACCUGUACUCGCGUGGGAACGAGAAGACACUCGUGGAGGCGUCGGCAGAGCAGGCAGACCAAGGAGUUCAUCUUCUCAGAGCUGCUGUCCAACCUGCACUCGCGUGGGAACGAGAAGACACUCAUGGAGGAGUCGGCCGAGCAGGCACAGCGGCGUGACGAGACUCGCGUGGGAAGAAGAAGACACUCCUGGAGGAGUCGGCAGAGCAGGCAGACCAAGGAGUUCAUCUUCUCGGAGCUGCUGUCCAACCUGUACUCGCGUCGGAACCUGCAGACACUUGUGGAGGAGUCGGCAGAGCAGGCACAGCGGUGCGACGAGAUGCUGCUUCUCAGAGCUGCUGUCCAACCUGCACUGGCGUGGGAACGAGAAGACACUCGUGGAGGCAUCGGCAGAGCAGGCAGACCAAGGAGUUCAUCUUCUCAGAGCUGCUGUCCAACCUGUACUCGCGUGGGAACGAGCAGACACUCGUGGAGGCGUUGGCAGAGCAGGCAGACCAAGGAAUUCAUCUUCUCAGAGCUGCUGUCCAACCUGCACUCGCGUGGGAAUGAGAAGACACUCGUGAAGGCGUCGGCAGAGAAGGCAGACCAAGGAGUUCAUCUUCUCAGAGCUGCUGUCCAACCUGCACUCGCGUGGGAACGAGAAGACACUCGUGGAGGCGUCGGCAGAGCAGGCAGACCAAGGAGUUCAUCUUCUCGGAGCUGCUGUCCAAACUGUACUCGCGUCGGAACCUGCAGACACUUGUGGAGGAGUCGGCAGAGCAGGCACAGCGGUGCGACGAGAUGCUGCUUCUCAGAGCUGCUGUCCAACCUGCACUCGCGUGGGAACGAGAAGACACUCGUGGAGGCGUUGGCAGAGCAGGCAGACCAAGGAGUUCAUCUUCUCAGAGCUGCUGUCCAACCUGUACUCGCGUGGGAACGAGAAGACACUCGUGGAGGCGUCGGCAGAGCAGGCAGACCAAGGAGUUCAUCUUCUCAGAGCUGCUGUCCAACCUGCACUCGCGUGGGAACGAGAAGACACUCAUGGAGGAGUCGGCCGAGCAGGCACAGCGGCGUGACGAGACUCGCGUGGGAAGAAGAAGACACUCCUGGAGGAGUCGGCAGAGCAGGCAGACCAAGGAGUUCAUCUUCUCGGAGCUGCUGUCCAACCUGUACUCGCAUCGGAACCUGCAGACACUUGUGGAGGAGUCGGCAGAGCAGGCACACCGGUGCGACGAGAUGCUGCUUCUCAGAGCUGCUGUCCAACCUGCACUAGCGUGGGAACGAGAAGACACUCGUGGAGGCGUCGGCAGAGCAGGCAGACCAAGGAGUUCAUCUUCUCAGAGCUGCUGUCCAACCUGCACUCGCGUGGGAACGAGAAGACACUCGUGGAGGCGUCGGCAGAGCAGGCAGACCAAGGAGUUCAUCUUCUCAGAGCUGCUGUCCAACCUGCACUCGCGUGGGAACGAGAAGACACUCGUGGAGGCGUCAGCAGAGAAGGCAGACCAAGGAGUUCAUCUUCUCAGAGCUGCUGCCCAACCUGCACUCGCGUGGGAACAAGAAGACACUCGUGGAGGCGUCGGCAGAGCAGGCAGACCAAGGAGUUCAUCUUCUCAGAGCUGCUGUCCAACCUGCACUUGCGUGGGAACGAGAAGACACUCAUGGAGGAGUCGGCAGAGCAGGCACAGCGGUGUGACGAGACUCGCGUGGGAAGAAGAAGACACUCCUGGAGGAGUCGGCAGAGCAGGCAGACCAAGGAGUUCAUCUUCUCGGAGCUGCUGUCCAACCUGUACUCGCGUCGGAACCUGCAGACACUUGUGGAGGAGUCGGCAGAGCAGGCACAGCGGUGCGACGAGAUGCUGCUUCUCAGAGCUGCUGUCCAACCAGCCCUCGCGUGGGAACCAGAAGACACUCGUGGAGGCGUCGGCAGAGCAGGCAGACCAAGGAGUUCAUCUUCUCAGAGCUGCUGUCCAACCUGUACUCGCGUGGGAACGAGAAGACACUCGUGGAGGCGUCGGCAGAGUAGGCAGACCAAGGAGUUCAUCUUCUCAGAGCUGCUGUCCAACCUGCACUCGCGUGGGAACGAGAAGACACUCAUGGAGGAGUCGGCCGAGCAGGCACAGCGGCGUGACGAGACUCGCGUGGGAAGAAGAAGACACUCCUGGAGGAGUCGGCAGAGCAGGCAGACCAAGGAGUUCAUCUUCUCGGAGCUGCUGUCCAACCUGUACUCGCGUCGGAACCUGCAGACACUUGUGGAGGAGUCGGCAGAGCAGGCACAGCGGUGCGACGAGAUGCUGCUUCUCAGAGCUGCUGUCCAACCUGCACUGGCGUGGGAACGAGAAGACACUCGUGGAGGCGUCGGCAGAGCAGGCAGACCAAGGAGUUCAUCUUCUCAGAGCUGCUGUCCAACCUGUACUCGCGUGGGAACGAGAAGACACUCGUGGAGGCGUCGGCAGAGCAGGCAGACCAAGGAGUUCAUCUUCUCAGAGCUGCUGUCCAACCUGCACUCGCGUGGGAACGAGAAGACACUCGUGGAGGCGUCGGCAGAGCAGGCAGACCAAGGAGUUCAUCUUCUCAGAGCUGCUGUCCAAACUGCACUUGCGUGGGAACGAGAAGACACUCAUGGAGGAGUCGGCAGAGCAGGCACAGCGGUGUGACGAGACUCGCGUGGGAAGAAGAAGACACUCCUGGAGGAGUCGGCAGAGCAGGCAGACGAAGGAGUUCAUCUUCUCGGAGCUGCUGUCCAACCUGUACUCGCGUCGGAACCUGCAGACACUUGUGGAGGGGUCGGCAGAGCAGGCACAGCGGUGCGACGAGAUGCUGCUUCUCAGAGCUGCUGUCCAACCUGCACUCGCGUGGGAACGAGAAGACACUCGUGGAGGAGUCGGCAGAGCAGGCACAGCGGCGUGACGAGACUCGCGUGGGAAGAAGAAGACACUCCUGGAGGAGUCGGCAGAGUAGGCAGAACAAGGAGUUCAUCUUCUCGGAGCUGCUGUCCAACCUGUACUCGCGUGGGAACGAGAAGACACUCCUGGAGGAGUCGGCAGAGCAGGCAGACCAAGGAGUUCAUCUUCUCAGAGCUGCUGUCCAACCUGCACUCGCGUAGGGACAAGAAGACACUCCUGGAGGAGUCGGCGGAGCAGGCAUAGCGGCGCGACGAGAUGCUGUGCAUGCACCACGUGCUGAAAGAGGCUCUCAGCAUCAUCGGCGACAUCAACAUGAACACCAUCAGCACAGCUACGGGGGCCCGUGGACGACUCCUAGUUGCAGAAAUUCAAAUUGAUUCAGUUGAACUAGCAUUUUAAAAUUCUAUGUUUCUGAUGAACUCUAACCUUCCUUCUAAGCAAAUCAAAAGCUGCAUUGUACUGAAUGAGGAAGAGCACAAAUACUUGGCUCAAUGAGGUAUCGCAAAAGACUGUAUGCACUUUGAAGAAAGACAACCAAGCCCAGCGAAAGAAUGGCAUACGGGAGUUGCUGCACAAGCCUGGGUGCUCCACGCUGUCAGUGAGGCUCACCUCACAAAGAUCUUUGGAGAGAAGGAGGUGGGGAUCCGAGUGCAGUGAGAGCCUCCCCUGCCCCUGCCUGCCCACCCUGCCUGAGGACUCUACUCACCACCAUGCUUGUCAGCACCCACAAGCUCCUGGGGGGCUGGGGCUCCUGGACCAGGCUCAUCAGCAAGCUUCAGGGCAGUGGCCGGGAAAUUUGCUGUGUCCCUCGUUGUAGUCACCACAAGCCACAACAUCGUCUCCAGCAGCUCCAGCAGCUUCACCUGGAAGGGAGGGGUGCUCAGCUGUUAUGCAUCUACCGGCGCCCACCCUCACGCCCACCCCCACCCCUGCAGAGAUGUUGCACACCCUACCUUCAUCUCUUCCUUGUCCUGGACCAGCCUGAUGAUGUCCUCCUCCAGUUGCCGCAUCUUUGGUACUGCCCCCUGGCUCUGUUCAAAGGUGAUGAACUUUCCUGUGGGAGGACAGGACUCUGACGCUGAGGCCCCUCCAACAGCCCUGCAGCUCCCGCUGCCGUGCCCUGGCCUCCCGCUCACUGAUGGCUUCUGUCUUUCCAGUACUGGAUGAAUCAAAGUUCUAGCUUCUCCACUCGCUCCCUCAGGUCCGCCUUCUCCUCCAGGAGGUCCAUAAGGCCACUCUGGAGCCAAAAUAAUGGGUUCACAUCUCGGCAGUGACCUGCCCCACCCCUGCCCUUCUUGGUCCAUGCCAGGACUCACUCACCUCCAGCUUCUCCAUGACCUCCUGCAUAGCCUGGUGGGUCUCCCCACUCACAGAGUCACCCCCAGUCACUGGGGCUGGGACCGCUGCCUCUGGCUUCUUCUGGACUGAGGCCACCAGGUGAGCCAUGCGCUGGCAGCACACCCUCUGCUCUUUCACCUGCUCUCGUAACCGUGCCUGCUCCUCCUGGGCAUUGGCUCCAGCGGAGUUGAAAAAUGCAACCUGAGGGCAAGAGGUGAGCAUUAUUGUAGAGGCAUACACAGAACAAACAGGGCAGAGAGGUGGAGUGCAGCCCCUUCCCUUGGGGUCUCAGAGAGUGCAUCUGUUGGUCACAGGUGAAAUGGUGUCUGACCACUGGCUCCCGGAAAGGGUGAGUGUCCAGAGAAAUCAGAAGGCAGGGAAACCAAGAGCAUAAAGGGGUCUUGGAGGGACCACAGAGGGAGGUGGCAAAAUGGGUACAGGGGGAGUCAGGCUCACCGUGGCCUCCCAGCUCUCCAGGUGCUCCGGGUUGCUCGGCAUGGGCCGAGGUGCCUCCUCCUCCUCACUGUCCAGAUGUCCUCCUCCAUCUCCUGUGGGGGGUGGCCAGAAGGGUCCUCAGACAACCCAACAAGGGGGGUACUGUGGGCCCACCGCUGCCUCCACCCUCACUGUGUAACCCUGAGCCAGCCACUACCCAGAGAGAAAUGAGCUGCUGUUCUUUAUUUUUACUUUUAAGAACCAAGAUCAGGCAUAAUCCCACUACGGUCAGUGCGGGAGUUCUGACCUGCUCCCUUUCUGACCUGGGCCAGUUCAGCCAUCCUUAGGCAACUUGGUGGCCCCCUGCUCCCAGGAGGUCACCAUAUUGAUGCUGAACUUAGUGCGGGCACCCGGUCGGCAUAAGGACCAGCUGUUCUAAAGGUCUCUUCCAUCU